GCCGGUAUAGCUCAGCUGGUAGAGCAACCGCCUUGUAAGCGGUAGGUCGGGGGUUCAAGUCCCUCUGCCGGCACCA
RNAcentral lists this transfer RNA (76 nucleotides) under Amorphus orientalis. RNAcentral's name for it is "tRNA-Thr". It matches the Rfam family "tRNA". From Rfam's summary of the family: Transfer RNA (tRNA) molecules are approximately 80 nucleotides in length. Lineage: Bacteria; Pseudomonadati; Pseudomonadota; Alphaproteobacteria; Hyphomicrobiales; Amorphaceae. The record is from RNAcentral.